GACGAACGCUGGCGGCGUGCUUAACACAUGCAAGUCGAACGGAAAGGCCCUGCUUUUGUGGGGUGCUCGAGUGGCGAACGGGUGAGUAACACGUGAGUAACCUGCCCUUGACUUUGGGAUAACUUCAGGAAACUGGGGCUAAUACCGGAUAGGAGCUCCUGCUGCAUGGUGGGGGUUGGAAAGUUUCGGCGGUUGGGGAUGGACUCGCGGCUUAUCAGCUUGUUGGUGGGGUAGUGGCUUACCAAGGCUUUGACGGGUAGCCGGCCUGAGAGGGUGACCGGCCACAUUGGGACUGAGAUACGGCCCAGACUCCUACGGGAGGCAGCAGUGGGGAAUAUUGCACAAUGGGCGGAGGCCUGAUGCAGCAACGCCGCGUGCGGGAUGACGGCCUUCGGGUUGUAAACCGCUUUCGCCUGUGACGAAGCGGGAGUGACGGUAAUGGGUAAAGAAGCACCGGCUAACUACGUG
This 468-nucleotide ribosomal RNA is filed under the name uncultured bacterium. Its description in RNAcentral is "partial 16S ribosomal RNA". It matches the Rfam family "Bacterial small subunit ribosomal RNA", at positions 28 to 507 of the family's 1533-position model. The record is from RNAcentral.